Molecule: ribosomal RNA, 610 nt
Filed under: uncultured bacterium
Lineage: Bacteria
Description: bacterial SSU rRNA
Rfam family: Bacterial small subunit ribosomal RNA
Source: RNAcentral
AACGCGCAGCAUCCUGUAGCAAUACAGGGUGUGGGCGCGUGGCGAACGGGUGCGUAACACGUGGAUAACCUUCCUUCAGGUGGGGAAUAACCCAGUGAAAAUUGGGCUAAUACCGCAUAACAUGACGAUGCCACAUGGUGUUGUCUUCAAAGCCGCAAGGCGCCAGAAGAGGGAUCCGCGGCCGAUUAGCUUGUUGGCGAGGUAAUGGCUCACCAAGGCUUUGAUCGGUAGCCGGACUGAGAGGUUGGCCGGCCACACUGGAACUGAGACACGGUCCAGACUCCUACGGGAGGCAGCAGUGGGGAAUCUUGCACAAUGGACGAAAGUCUGAUGCAGCAACGCCGCGUGGGGGAUGAAGCUUUUCGGAGUGUAAACCCCUUUCGACCCGGAAGAAUGCCCGCAAGGGUUUGACGGUACGGGUAUAAGAAGCCCCGGCUAACUACGUGCCAGCAGCCGCGGUAAUACGUAGGGGGCCAGCGUUGCUCGGAAUUACUGGGCGUAAAGGGUCCGUAGGCGGUGUGGCAAGUCGGGAGUGAAAUCUCUGGGCUUAACCCAGAGGCUGCUUCCGAAACUGCCAUGCUAGAGUGUGAGAGAAGCGAGUGGAAAUUAC